CCUACGGGGCGCAGCAGUGAGGAAUAUUGGUCAAUGGUCGAGAGUCUGAACCAGCCAAGUAGCGUGAAGGAUGACUGCCCUAUGGGUUGUAAACUUCUUUUAUAUGGGAAUAAAAUGUUCCACGUGUGGGAUUUUGUAUGUACCAUAUGAAUAAGGAUCGGCUAACUCCGUGCCAGCAGCCGCGGUAAUACGGAGGAUCCGAGCGUUAUCCGGAUUUAUUGGGUUUAAAGGGAGCGUAGGGGGAUUGUUAAGUCAGUUGUGAAAGUUUGCGGCUCAACCGUAAAAUUGCAGUUGAAACUGGCAGUCUUGAGUACAGUAGAGGUGGGCGGAAUUCGUGGUGUAGCGGUGAAAUGCUUAGAUAUCACGAAGAACUCCGAUUGCGAAGGCAGUUCACUGGACUGCAACUGACACUGAGGCUCGAAAGUGUGGGUAUCAAACAGGAGUAGAUACCCUUGUAGUC
RNAcentral lists this ribosomal RNA (460 nucleotides) under uncultured bacterium. Its description in RNAcentral is "partial 16S ribosomal RNA". It matches the Rfam family "Bacterial small subunit ribosomal RNA", at positions 338 to 795 of the family's 1533-position model. The record is from RNAcentral.